CUUCUAUGAAGUUAUCCCAUUUUUCUCUUCUCUGGGACACAAAGCAUUAUUUACCAUGUUGCCCCAGGCCUGGUCUUCCUGUAUCAUUCAACACCAAGGCUUUGUCAAAAAAGAGAAUGGCAAGUUGGAAAAAAGGAACUAAGGAAUGGUUGGCACUUGCUGUUUCUCUCUUAAGGAGUUCUCUACUUGCCAAGUGUACCUGCUUUGGACUUCUCAUGCCUAGGCUCCCCUGGCCAUGA
This 239-nucleotide long non-coding RNA is filed under the name Felis catus (domestic cat). RNAcentral describes it as "lncRNA (ENSFCAG00000040338.2)". The record is from RNAcentral. Lineage: Eukaryota; Metazoa; Chordata; Mammalia; Carnivora; Felidae.